Molecule: non-coding RNA, 103 nt
Filed under: Paenibacillus sp.
Lineage: Bacteria; Bacillati; Bacillota; Bacilli; Caryophanales; Paenibacillaceae
Description: Guanine sequence
Rfam family: Purine riboswitch aptamer
About the family: Riboswitches are metabolite binding domains within certain messenger RNAs that serve as precision sensors for their corresponding targets. Allosteric rearrangement of mRNA structure is mediated by ligand binding, and this results in modulation of gene expression.
Source: RNAcentral
UAAUCUAACAUGAACUUCUCUUGUAUAAGCUCAUAAAUUGGUGUGAGCGUCUCGACCAGGCAACCGUAAAUUGCCCCAGGCUACAAGAGGCCGUUAGUGAAGA